This 517-nucleotide ribosomal RNA is filed under the name uncultured bacterium. RNAcentral describes it as "bacterial SSU rRNA". It matches the Rfam family "Bacterial small subunit ribosomal RNA", at positions 49 to 577 of the family's 1533-position model. The record is from RNAcentral.
UAACACAUGCAAGUCGAACGAGAACGGAUUUUAGUUUACUAAAAUUGUCAGCUAAGUGGCGCACGGGUGAGUAAUAUAUAGUUAACCUGCCCCAAAGAAGAGAAUAAUUGAUGGAAACGUCUUGUAACUCUCUAUAUGCCUUUAUCACAUAAGUGAGCAAGGGAAACAUUUAUGGCUUUGGGAUGGGACUGUACGGUAUCAGAUAGUUGGUGAGGUAAUGGCUCACCAAGUCAAUGACGCCUAACUGGUUUGAGAGGAUGAUCAGUCACACUGGAACUGAGACACGGUCCAGACUCCUACGGGAGGCAGCAGUGGGGAAUAUUGCACAAUGGAGGAAACUCUGAUGCAGCAACGCCGCGUGGAGGAUGACACAUUUCGGUGCGUAAACUCCUUUUAUAUGAGAAGAUAAUGACGGUAUCAUAUGAAUAAGCACCGGCUAACUCCGUGCCAGCAGCCGCGGUAAUACGGGGGGUGCAAGCGUCACUCGGAAUCACUGGGCGUAAAGAGCAUGUAGGCU